This 468-nucleotide ribosomal RNA is filed under the name uncultured bacterium. RNAcentral describes it as "partial 16S ribosomal RNA". It matches the Rfam family "Bacterial small subunit ribosomal RNA", at positions 28 to 507 of the family's 1533-position model. The record is from RNAcentral.
GACGAACGCUGGCGGCGUGCUUAACACAUGCAAGUCGAACGGAAAGGCCCUGCUUUUGUGGGGAGCUCGAGUGGCGAACGGGUGAGUAACACGUGAGUAACCUGCCCUUGACUUUGGGAUAACUUCAGGAAACUGGGGCUAAUACCGGAUAGGAGCUCCUGCUGCAUGGUGGGGGUUGGAAAGUUUCGGCGGUUGGGGAUGGACUCGCGGCUUAUCAGCUUGUUGGUGGGGUAGUGGCUUACCAAGGCUUUGACGGGUAGCCGGCCUGAGAGGGUGACCGGCCACAUUGGGACUGAGAUACGGCCCAGACUCCUACGGGAGGCAGCAGUGGGGAAUAUUGCACAAUGGGCGGAAGCCUGAUGCAGCAACGCCGCGUGCGGGAUGACGGCCUUCGGGCUGUAAACCGCUUUCGCCUGUGACGAAGCGUGAGUGACGGUAAUGGGUAAAGAAGCACCGGCUAACUACGUG